UAGUGGGAGUGGCCUGCGGUGCUGUGCAUUCUGGGAUUUGUUGUCUUUCAUCCACAUGAGCCAAAAGAAACACUGUCUGUCUUUUCUCGUCCAAGAAGGCACCAACUUCAAAAUGUAUUUCACAUUUCUACAUAUAUGACCCAAUGGCUGAUCCUGUUUCCCCUUUGCUUCAGUCUUUGUGCUAAGCUAAUACCACUCUGGAUCCAUCUACAUACACACAGAGGAAAUAUUCCUGUGUGCAUAUUGACUGAUUUUCCAGUUAAUGUGGGUGCUUCAAAGCAAACAAGUGGUUACUUUGUUCCUUUAGCUCUGCAGGAGGGGAGUUCAGCGUUUUCCGCGACGGUCUGCUUGAGCUGACUAGUGGUUGGGGAGAUUCAGAGCUGGAUCUGCCAGGGCUGUUAAGUUUUAAGGGGUUGGUGUGUGUGUAGUGUGUGUGUGUGUGUGUGUGGUUUGGUGUGGUGUGGUGUGUGUGUGUGUGGCGUGUCAGCGAGCAGAAUGGGGCUGCCAUAGGCCUGACAGGAUGACAGCUGUCACCAAGGAAAUAGAGAGAGGAAGAGGAGGAGAGACACCGCCUCAAGGGAACACACACACUCUCUCUCUCUUUCAGACAAGGCCUGGAAGUUGUGUGUGUGUGUGUGUGUGUGUGUGUGUGUGUGUGUGUGUGUGUGUGUGUGUGUGUGUGUGUGUGUGUGUGUGUGUGUGUGUGUGUGUGUGUUUUAGCAUGUCUGUGUGUGCAGUCAUGUUUGUUUGCGAGCAGGAGAAAAGCUACAACGGGAACAUAAUUGGUUUGUGUUUCGGUAAUGUACACACUUAUCUUCACAUCAGCAAUUACAGUGUGUGUGUUGAAUAGGAACAAAGGGACGCUGUUGGUAUGUGUUACAAGGUGUGUGUGUGUGUGUGUGUGUGUGUGUGUGUACAUGCUUCCCCCUGUGUAUGUGUGUGUGUGUGUUCUUUGUAUUGAGUUUGGUCUGCUUCAUUAGUUUAUAUUGUAAAAUCGAUGUUGCCCAUUGUGGUACGACCUGUUCGCUGAUACGGUGCCGUGUUUUGGUGUGUGUGUGUGUGAGUGUGUGUGUGUGUGUGUGUGUGUGUGUGUGUGAGUGAGUGCCCAGUAAUAGUGACCCUGGGGAGAGAGUCAGACAUGGGGGGAGGAGCCCCCUAAGUGACCUGGAAAGCAGACCCAUCCAUCAACUCUCUCUCCCCCCCUCAAUCCUUUCGUUCCCUCUCUUGUUGUCUUUUUUUUUCUCUCUUCUCUCUAUCAGCAAUCACUGCUCUUAAAGCUACACCUGUGUGUGUGUGUGUGUGUGUGUGUGUGUGUGUGUGUGUGUGUGUGUGAGUGUGAGUGUGUGUGUGUGAACAUUUCUGAGAUGCCUCUACCUCCACUUGCCGGAGCGGGGGGGGGGGGGUUAUGUGUGUUUAACCCGGGCUGGCCGGCCCCGCUAAGCCUAAUGGUCUCUGUAAAAAAAAGAGGGAGAGUGAGGUGGAGUGAAACCGGAGAGGACAGCGGACUAAAGAGUGAAGACGGGGGGGGAGGGGGGGGGGGGGGGAUGAGGGGAUGCUAACGGAGGAAUACAGACUCUAGUGAGGCGGAGGAGAAAAACUUAGUGUGGAGCAAACACACCUCAGCUAUACUUCUUCAAACCAAACUUUUUCUGCACCUGAAAUCACAUUAACACCCCGAGUUCUAACGUUUAAAUUCUUACUUUUAGUGGACAUGGCGUGCAUGGCGCUCCAACAGGAAACUUCAUUUGCACACGCUUGCGUCGCAUGCUUAACUAUUUAUUUUUGGGCUUCUUGUGCCUUUAAUGGAGAGAUAGGACAGUGGACAGAGCCGGAAACCAGGAAGAGAGAGAGGGUAGGGAAUGACAUGUGGGGAAAAAGGAGCAACAGGCCGGACUCGAACCCGGGCCGCCAUAGCCUCCACACAUGGGGCGCGCGCACCAACCACUGAGCCGCCAGCGCCCCGCGUCGCAUGCUUUUUAGGUCAGGCUGUGUAGGACGUCUUGACACCUAGCGUUUGAAAAGUGCUCGCUGUAAACUGAGAAGAAAAGUGCUGCUCGCCUGUCCUGUCGCUAUGACAACGGCCUGUUGACCUGUUUAAUAUUUGAGAUCGUUUAUGACCCGAUCAGACACGGAGCAAAGGAAUGUAAACUCUCGAUAUCAAGAAGUGGGAGCAGAUGGUUUGUUUUGGAGCAAAAGUAAGAUUUCUACAGGAGUUCAGUUUACAUGUUAACAACAUAAUCUGUUGAGUCAGUCAGUGAGUCAUGACAUUUACACAGUUUAUCCAUCGUUUUGUCAUCGCUCCGUAAAUGAAAUGUAAAAGGUUCAUUGACCGUCACAUUCUCUGUUAAGUGACUCAUUGUUUCAACACUUGGAAUAAAAAAGAAGAAGAAGAAAAUCCAUCUUAAAGAAUUACUGGACCGACUGUUUGUAAUAGAGUUCAGUGCAGCUCAGAUAUAUGUGUAUUUAAACAACUUGUUCUGUAAACAAACCUCCAGAGAGAGAGAGAUAGAGAG
Long non-coding RNA from Labrus mixtus (cuckoo wrasse), 2513 nucleotides. RefSeq lists it as uncharacterized. Lineage: Eukaryota; Metazoa; Chordata; Actinopteri; Labriformes; Labridae. The record is from RefSeq and is a predicted model, not a curated record. The transcript has 3 exons.